Molecule: ribosomal RNA, 791 nt
Filed under: uncultured bacterium
Lineage: Bacteria
Description: bacterial SSU rRNA
Rfam family: Bacterial small subunit ribosomal RNA
Source: RNAcentral
AGAGUUUGAUCAUGGCUCAGAUUGAACGCUGGCGGCAUGCCUUACACAUGCAAGUCGAACGGUAACAGGUCUUCGGAUGCUGACGAGUGGCGAACGGGUGAGUAAUACAUCGGAACGUGCCCGAUCGUGGGGGAUAACGAAGCGAAAGCUUUGCUAAUACCGCAUACGAUCUACGGAUGAAAGCAGGGGACCGCAAGGCCUUGCGCGAACGGAGCGGCCGAUGGCAGAUUAGGUAGUUGGUGGGAUAAAAGCUUACCAAGCCGACGAUCUGUAGCUGGUCUGAGAGGACGACCAGCCACACUGGGACUGAGACACGGCCCAGACUCCUACGGGAGGCAGCAGUGGGGAAUUUUGGACAAUGGGCGAAAGCCUGAUCCAGCCAUGCCGCGUGCAGGAUGAAGGCCUUCGGGUUGUAAACUGCUUUUGUACGGAACGAAAAGACUCUGGUUAAUACCUGGGGUCCAUGACGGUACCGUAAGAAUAAGCACCGGCUAACUACGUGCCAGCAGCCGCGGUAAUACGUAGGGUGCAAGCGUUAAUCGGAAUUACUGGGCGUAAAGCGUGCGCAGGCGGUUAUAUAAGACAGAUGUGAAAUCCCCGGGCUCAACCUGGGAACUGCAUUUGUGACUGUAUAGCUAGAGUACGGCAGAGGGGGAUGGAAUUCCGCGUGUAGCAGUGAAAUGCGUAGAUAUCAGGAGGAACACCGGUGGCGAAGGCGGGUCUCUGGGCAGUAACUGACGCUGAGGAGCGAAAGCGUGGGGAGCGAACAGGAUUAGAUACCCCGGUAGUCC